RNAcentral lists this ribosomal RNA (426 nucleotides) under uncultured bacterium. RNAcentral describes it as "bacterial SSU rRNA". It matches the Rfam family "Bacterial small subunit ribosomal RNA", at positions 355 to 773 of the family's 1533-position model. The record is from RNAcentral.
UGGGGAAUAUUGGACAAUGGGGGAAACCCUGAUCCAGCAAUGCCGCGUGUGUGAAGAAGGCCUUCGGGUUGUAAAGCACUUUUAUCGGGAACGAAACGUUGUCGGUUAAUACCCGGCAAAACUGACGGUACCCGAGGAAUAAGCACCGGCUAACUCCGUGCCCGCAGCCGCGGUAAUACGAAGGGGGCUAGCGUUGUUCGGAAUUACUGGGCGUAAAGCGCGCGCAGGCGGUUUACCAAGUCAGUGGUGAAAGCCCGGAGCUCAACUCCGGAACUGCCAUUGAAACUGUUGAACUUGAGGACGAGAGAGGUGAGUGGAAUUCCCAGUGUAGAGGUGAAAUUCGUAGAUAUUGGGAAGAACACCGGUGGCGAAGGCGGCUCACUGGCUCGUUUCUGACGCUCAGGCGCGAUAGCGUGGGGAUCAAAC